This is a non-coding RNA of Pelobates cultripes (western spadefoot toad), 308 nucleotides long. NCBI's taxonomy places the organism in Eukaryota, Metazoa, Chordata, Amphibia, Anura, Pelobatidae. The record is from the annotation of a GenBank genome assembly.
UGGGAAUGGCUCCCGCUAGAUAUAUGACCUCCUAAAGCCGUGGCCUAGGCUAAAAAUGGCGCCUCAAACAGACGCAUAUAAUACUUCCUCAAAGGAAGAAGUCUUUGAUGCACCCGAUGACAUACCCUGCGCCAAGAGCAUAAUCACCCCUCAAAGAGGAGAAGACCUGACAGCCCCAGCUACAAAAGGGGAUAUCAAAACUCUGAUGACAAACAUAAGAGCCUUCCUCAAUGCUGAUAUGAAUAUAAUACGUGAGGACAUAACAGUGGUGACAGCCAGAGUGCAGGCUAACGAGGAUACCAUCACCU